GCCCGAGUGGUGGAAUUGGUAGACACGCCACUUUGAGGGGGUGGUACUGGGUAUUUAUGGUGUAUGGGUUCAAAUCCCGUCUCGGGCA
This 88-nucleotide transfer RNA is filed under the name Candidatus Azobacteroides pseudotrichonymphae genomovar. CFP2. Its description in RNAcentral is "tRNA-Leu (GAG) (tRNA-Leu-GAG-1-1)". It matches the Rfam family "tRNA". From Rfam's summary of the family: Transfer RNA (tRNA) molecules are approximately 80 nucleotides in length. Their secondary structure includes four short double-helical elements and three loops (D, anti-codon, and T loops). Further hydrogen bonds mediate the characteristic L-shaped molecular structure. tRNAs have two regions of fundamental functional importance: the anti-codon, which is responsible for specific mRNA codon recognition, and the 3' end, to which the tRNAs corresponding amino acid is attached (by aminoacyl-tRNA synthetases). tRNAs cope with the degeneracy of the genetic code in two manners: having more than one tRNA (with a specific anti-codon) for a particular amino acid; and 'wobble' base-pairing, i.e. permitting non-standard base-pairing at the 3rd anti-codon position. Lineage: Bacteria; Pseudomonadati; Bacteroidota; Bacteroidia; Bacteroidales. The record is from Rfam by way of RNAcentral. RNAcentral also lists the same sequence under 1 other name.